RNAcentral lists this ribosomal RNA (253 nucleotides) under uncultured bacterium. RNAcentral describes it as "partial 16S ribosomal RNA". It matches the Rfam family "Bacterial small subunit ribosomal RNA", at positions 524 to 776 of the family's 1533-position model. The record is from RNAcentral.
CACGUAGGGUGCGAGCGUUGUCCGGAAUUACUGGGCGUAAAGGGCUCGUAGGUGGCCAACUAAGUCAGACGUGAAAUCCCUCGGCUUAACCGGGGAACUGCGUCUGAUACUGGAUGGCUUGAGUUUGGGAGAGGGAUGCGGAAUUCCAGGUGUAGCGGUGAAAUGCGUAGAUAUCUGGAGGAACACCGGUGGCGAAGGCGGCAUCCUGGACCAACACUGACACUGAGGAGCGAAAGCCAGGGGAGCAAACGGG